UGAAUCAUCGAAUCUUUGAACGCACCUUGCACCCUUUGGCAUUCCGAAGGGUAUGCUCGUUUGAGUGUUAUUGUACUCUCACACUCUCCAAUCUUUUCGAUUGGGAGUGGUGGACUUGGGUGUUGCUGCUUCACUGUGGCUCACCUCAAAUGUGUUAGUGCAACUCCUUGGUUGGACAUAGUACGGCAUGAUAAGUAUCUUUGCCGGCGCCUCACAAGAGGGUGGCCAAUUGGGGAGCUCUGUGCUUCAAACUGUCUUUGGACAAUCUCCUGACAACUUAACCUCAAAUCGAGUAGGACUACCCGCUGAACUUAAGCAUAUCAAUAAGCGGAGGAAAAGAAACUAACAAGGAUUCCCCUAGUAACGGCGAGUGAAGAGGGAAGAGCUCAAAUUUUGAAUCUGGCGUCUUUGGCGUCUGAGUUGUAAUCUAGAGAAGUGUUUUCCGUGGCGGACCGUGCAUAAGUCUCCUGGAACGGAGCGUCAUAGAGGGUGAGAAUCCCGUAUAUGGCAUGGACUCCCGUUGCUCUGUGAUACACUCUCGA
This 542-nucleotide ribosomal RNA is filed under the name uncultured fungus. Its description in RNAcentral is "eukaryotic LSU rRNA". The stretch from base 279 to 542 matches the Rfam family "Eukaryotic large subunit ribosomal RNA", at positions 1 to 260 of the family's 3401-position model. The record is from RNAcentral. Lineage: Eukaryota; Fungi.